UACGAAGGCCCCAAGCGUUAUCCGGAUUUAUUGGGCGUAAAGCGUUAAUAGGCGGCGAUGUCAGUCAUUGGUCAAAUCCUGCGGCUCAACCGUAGGGCAGCUGGUGAUACUGCAUUGCUUGAGGCUGGAAGAGGCAAACGGAACUACCGGUGUAGCGGUAAAAUGCGUUCAUAUCGGUAGGAACACCAAAGGCGAAAGCAGUUUGCUGGAACAGUCCUGACGCUAAAUAACGAAAGCGUGGGGAGCGAAUGGG
RNAcentral lists this ribosomal RNA (253 nucleotides) under uncultured prokaryote. RNAcentral's name for it is "partial 16S ribosomal RNA". It matches the Rfam family "Bacterial small subunit ribosomal RNA", at positions 524 to 776 of the family's 1533-position model. The record is from RNAcentral.